Molecule: long non-coding RNA, 903 nt
Filed under: Salmo salar (Atlantic salmon)
Lineage: Eukaryota; Metazoa; Chordata; Actinopteri; Salmoniformes; Salmonidae
Description: lncRNA (ENSSSAG00000108868.1, ENSSSAG00020069112.1)
Source: RNAcentral
UCCCCAGAGGCAAAGUUCCACAGCAAUCAUAAGUGGUAGUAGCACUGGCAGUAGUAUAGUGUUGGCCGCUGUCUUGCAUGCUUUCUGCGCAACCCCAUGCCUCUUGGUGACAGUUGCUAAGUAACUGGACAUGUCAAGAGCCUACCGAAGAGCGUGGGGCUUUACUGUGAAAAGGUAUGCUGGAUCAUUUGGCCCAUGCUUCUGCGAAAAUUGUAAUUAUUUUCUAUAAUUAAACUGUAUGAUCAAUAUACCACACACUUAGUCAUGCCAUUAGAGACCACAUGAGAAAUAAGGACUGUACAAAUAGCCAUGAUCUAUCUGCUCCCUGCGGACGAGGUAACCCCAUGACCUACGGACGAGGUAACCCCAUGACCAACGGACGAGGUAACCCCAUAACCAAUGGACAAGAGCUCGGGUCCACACUCCAAAACCGCAACUCCUCAUCUGGCUAUCUAUUGGGAAUAUUGGUGUGAAGCUCAUCAAAAACAUAACAAUCUGAGAUGAGAACACACAGAGGAUUAAAGGAGAUGAGCCACUCUCUGAGCAGAGUUAUAAAGCCAAGAGCCUAUUACCAACAACCAGCACGAGGAGCAUCUCUCUGUCAGACUGCUCUGCAAACACGUGGCCUGAUGUUAUCACCUGUAGUGUUUUUCAGUAUCCCCAUGUUAGCCACUCCAUUGUCUAGGGCUAUAUAGCUAAAUAAUUAAUGGGUUGUUCCAUUUGAUUUCAAUCACUUCUUGAAUGCACCCCUUUUGAUUUGAUCAAAACUUUCCAUACAUAUUUUCCCAUGGUAGAAGUGGCCAGAAAGUAAUUUUUUGGACCGAAAUGCCAAAACAUUCAGGAGAUACAGGUGUUCAAAGUUAACCCAUUUUCCAUACCCCACCAUACCAUGAGACAUCAAAG